RNAcentral lists this ribosomal RNA (455 nucleotides) under uncultured organism. RNAcentral describes it as "partial 16S ribosomal RNA". It matches the Rfam family "Bacterial small subunit ribosomal RNA", at positions 329 to 800 of the family's 1533-position model. The record is from RNAcentral.
ACGUACACUCCUGCGGGAGGCAGCAGUGGGGAAUAUUGGACAAUGGGCGCAAGCCUGAUCCAGCCAUGCCGCGUGAGUGAUGAAGGCCCUAGGGUUGUAAAGCUCUUUCACCGGUGAAGAUAAUGACGGUAACCGGAGAAGAAGCCCCGGCUAACUUCGUGCCAGCAGCCGCGGUAAUACGAAGGGGGCUAGCGUUGUUCGGAUUUACUGGGCGUAAAGCGCACGUAGGCGGACUAUUAAGUCAGGGGUGAAAUCCCGGGGCUCAACCCCGGAACUGCCUUUGAUACUGGUAGUCUUGAGUUCGAGAGAGGUGAGUGGAAUUCCGAGUGUAGAGGUGAAAUUCGUAGAUAUUCGGAGGAACACCAGUGACGAAGGCGGCUCACUGGCUCGAUACUGACGCUGAGGUGCGAAAGCGUGGGGAGCAAACAGGAUUAGAUACCCUAGUAGUCCCAUGA